This 253-nucleotide ribosomal RNA is filed under the name uncultured bacterium. Its description in RNAcentral is "partial 16S ribosomal RNA". It matches the Rfam family "Bacterial small subunit ribosomal RNA", at positions 524 to 776 of the family's 1533-position model. The record is from RNAcentral.
UACGUAGGAUGCGAGCGUUGUCCGGAUUCACUGGGUGUAAAGGGAGCGCAGGCGGGUCGGUAAGUCAUUGGUGAAAUACUCGAGCUUAACUCGGGAGCUGCCACUGAUACUGCUGAUCUUGAGUGCAGAAGAGGUUGAUAGAAUUCUAGGUGUAGCGGUGAAAUGCGUAGAUAUCUAGAAGAAUACCGAUGGCGAAGGCAGUCAACUGGUCUGCUACUGACGCUCAUGCUCGAAAGCGUGGGGAUCAAACAGG